ACUCCCAACACCAGGCACCUUCUUACUCUUCUUCUUUUUUCCUUUCUUAAAGGGACGAUGACUACCCGAAGAAGAUCCUCCUAUUAUAUUCACUAUCUCCUUGUGGAGCUAGUGAUCUUUUUCAAAAGUCUGUAGCAACCCCAAUAGAUCGUGGUAGUUGACUACAGACUUCGUCAUUCUAUAAUGACUGAGGAACGGC
This 199-nucleotide long non-coding RNA is filed under the name Elaeis guineensis (African oil palm). RNAcentral's name for it is "long non-coding RNA (EGUI_LNC047277)". The record is from RNAcentral. Lineage: Eukaryota; Viridiplantae; Streptophyta; Magnoliopsida; Arecales; Arecaceae.